GAGCAUCUACUGCUAAUGAUGCAGAUGCCCAGGGAGCCAAGGCAAUCAGAUUUGAUUGUGAGGUUCCAGGUUCCUUUGAAGAACCAAACAUGGGUCACUGACUUAUGGAUUUUUUCUCCAGUGCUCACUGAGACGCAUUCAUUCUGCUUCAAAAUGGCAUCAGUCACGGGAAGGUUAAAGGACUCUUCCAGGCUUCACAGGGCAGCCUUUUAUUUCUGCUCCUGGGAGGUAGGGAUUGGAUGUGGCCCAGGAAGACUACUUUGCCUCAGGUUUUCUCUCAAGAGGCCUCUAAGCAGUCCUUCAGUGAACUCCACCCCAAGGCUGAAACCCAACGUCUUCCCUCAGGAGCUCGAGGCUCUUGGCUGAUCACAGGUGGGAAACACACCUACAGGAUAUACGUCAUCACUGACAGAAGAAAAAAGCAGUGAAAGACACUGGAGUCCAGCAUGCCUGAAGGCCAACAUUUCUAAACCCCCUCCUUACUGCCCAUUUUCCC
This 496-nucleotide long non-coding RNA is filed under the name Equus caballus (horse). Its description in RNAcentral is "lncRNA (ENSECAG00000044637.1)". The record is from RNAcentral. Lineage: Eukaryota; Metazoa; Chordata; Mammalia; Perissodactyla; Equidae.